Carassius carassius (crucian carp) is the source of this 623-nucleotide long non-coding RNA. RefSeq lists it as uncharacterized. The record is from RefSeq and is a predicted model, not a curated record. Lineage: Eukaryota; Metazoa; Chordata; Actinopteri; Cypriniformes; Cyprinidae. The transcript is spliced from 2 exons.
ACCCAGAUUGGUGUUACUGCACAGGGUGAUUGGCCUGUUUUCUCAUGGCUUCCUGGCUGGUUAUGCUGUGUGGAAUAUCAUUGUGGUCUAGGUUUUGGCAGGGGAAGAGAUACUGCAGCAGUAUCACCCUCAGCACGGUUUCUGCCUUCGACAGGUUGAAUCUUGCCAAAGCUGCUACAGCCAUGAGUUUAGUGUUGCACAGUCCUGUGGCGCUUGUACACCUUUUCUUUUUCAGUGUAUUUUUCUGCCCUUGUUUUAUCAUUAAGCCAGCAGAUGUGAUCGCAUCAAUCUCUAUAAUCAGUACUCCAGCUAUAAUGAGCCCUCUCAUUAGUGCAUGCUGGGUAAAUACUGUACAGUAAUAUUAUAAUACCUCCUCUCAGGCAGCCAGGCUCAGAGCGCAGCAUCAUUCAUCUCUGGAUCAUAUUAAACCUGGUGGUAACUUUGCUGGUUGGGCUAGCCUGGGUUUUGAUGUCAACAAGUCCAGAUAUCGACCACACAGAAGGUAAACACGAAGGCAAUUUUUUUUCUCAACAAUAUUUUGAUACAUGGUUGUAGAUUUGUCAAUGUAUGUAUUCUAUACAUCUCUCUCAGCAAUACAAUUUUUAAAUAAACCAGUGAGGCCA